CUCUCUUCUGCAGCACUGACU
This 21-nucleotide microRNA is filed under the name Mus musculus (house mouse). RNAcentral describes it as "Mmu-Mir-1960_3p* (star (passenger))". The record is from RNAcentral. Lineage: Eukaryota; Metazoa; Chordata; Mammalia; Rodentia; Muridae.